UAAGUAGGUAGUGAAAGCUGACGGCUCAACCGUACAGACUAUUAUCUAAACUGGUAAACUCGAGAAUGGUAGAGGUAACUGGAAUUUCUUGUGUAGGAGUGGAAUCCGUAGAUAUAAGAAGGAACACCAAUGGCGUAGGCAGGUUACUGGACCAUUUCUGACACUGAGGCACGAAAGCGUGGGGAGCGAACGGGAUUAGAUACCCCGGUAGUCCACGCCGUAAGCGAUGGAUACUA
Molecule: ribosomal RNA, 236 nt
Filed under: uncultured Candidatus Saccharibacteria bacterium
Lineage: Bacteria; Candidatus Saccharimonadota
Description: partial 16S ribosomal RNA
Rfam family: Bacterial small subunit ribosomal RNA
Source: RNAcentral